GGAUGAACGCUGGCGGCGUGCCUAAUACAUGCAAGUCGAGCGAAUAGAUAAGGAGCUUGCUCCUUUGACGUUAGCGGCGGACGGGUGAGUAACACGUGGGUAACCUACCUAUAAGACUGGGAUAACUUCGGGAAACCGGAGCUAAUACCGGAUAAUAUUUCGAACCGCAUGGUUCGAUAGUGAAAGAUGGUUUUGCUAUCACUUAUAGAUGGACCCGCGCCGUAUUAGCUAGUUGGUAAGGUAACGGCUUACCAAGGCGACGAUACGUAGCCGACCUGAGAGGGUGAUCGGCCACACUGGAACUGAGACACGGUCCAGACUCCUACGGGAGGCAGCAGUAGGGAAUCUUCCGCAAUGGGCGAAAGCCUGACGGAGCAACGCCGCGUGAGUGAUGAAGGUCUUCGGAUCGUAAAACUCUGUUGUUAGGGAAGAACAUACGUGUAAGUAACUAUGCACGUCUUGACGGUACCUAAUCAGAAAGCCACGGCUAACUACGUGCCAGCAGCCGCGGUAAUACGUAGGUGGCAAGCGUUAUCCGGAAUUAUUGGGCGUAAAGCGCGCGUAGGCGGUUUUUUAAGUCUGAUGCGAAAGCCCACGGCUCAACCGUGGAGGGUCAUUGGGAAACUGGAAAACUUGAGUGCAGAAGAGGAAAGUGGAUUCCAUGUGUAGGGUGAAAUGCGCAGAGAUGAUGGAGGAACAGCCAGUGGCGACGGCGACUAUAUGGUCUGUAACUGACGGUGGAUGUGCGAAAGCGUGGGGAUCAAACAGGAUUAGAUACCGUGGUAGUCCACGCCGUAAUCGAUGAGUGGUAAGUGUUAGGGGGUUUCCGCCCCUUAGUGCUGCAGCUAACGCAUUAAGCACUCCGCGUGGGGAGUACGACCGCAAGGUUGAAACUCAAAGGAAUUGACGGGGACCCGCACAAGCGGUGGAGCAUGUGGUUUAAUUAGAAGCAACGCGAAGAACCUUACCAAAUCUUGACAUCCUUUGACAACUCUAGAGAUAGAGCCUUCCCCUUCGGGGGACAAAGUGACAGGUGGUGCAUGGUUGUCGUCAGCUCGUGUCGUGAGAUGUUGGGUUAAGUCCCGCAACGAGCGCAACCCUUAAGCUUAGUUGCCAUCAUUAAGUUGGGCACUGUAAGUUGACUGCCGGUGACAAACCGGAGGAAGGUGGGGAUGAUGUCAAAUCAUCAUGCCCCUUAUGAUUUGGGCUACACACGUGGUACAAUGGACAAUACAAAGGGCAGGGAAACCCAGAGGUCAAGCAAAUCCCAUAAAGUUGCUCUCAGUUGGGAUUGUAGUUUGCAACUAGAAUACAUGAAGCUGGAAUCGUUAGUAAUCGUAGAUCAGCAUGGUACGGUGAAUACGUUCCCGGGUCUUG
This 1377-nucleotide ribosomal RNA is filed under the name uncultured Staphylococcus sp. Its description in RNAcentral is "bacterial SSU rRNA". It matches the Rfam family "Bacterial small subunit ribosomal RNA", at positions 27 to 1383 of the family's 1533-position model. Lineage: Bacteria; Bacillati; Bacillota; Bacilli; Caryophanales; Staphylococcaceae. The record is from RNAcentral.